This 206-nucleotide ribosomal RNA is filed under the name uncultured bacterium. Its description in RNAcentral is "partial 16S ribosomal RNA". It matches the Rfam family "Bacterial small subunit ribosomal RNA", at positions 568 to 774 of the family's 1533-position model. The record is from RNAcentral.
UGCGCAGGCGGUUAUGUAAGACAGAUGUGAAAUCCCCGGGCUCAACCUGGGAACUGCAUUUGUGACUGCAUGGCUAGAGUACGGUAGAGGGGGAUGGAAUUCCGCGUGUAGCAGUGAAAUGCGUAGAUAUGCGGAGGAACACCGAUGGCGAAGGCAAUCCCCUGGACCUGUACUGACGCUCAUGCACGAAGCGUGGGGAGCAAACA